AUAUGCAUCUAGUGUUCUAAUCUUUGGUAAGACCGCAUGUGAUAAAGAGGACGAGCUUUCAAUUAAAAGGUGUGAAGAAUCCGAGCUUUGCGAAGCCAGGUGGACCGGUGAAGCGUUCUUAAUUUGGAUGAUGGUUGCCAUGCUCAGCUCACCAAAAUUAAAUGUGAGUUGGAAGAGCUUUUCACAGAUGCUGCUCAUGCACCCAAGCAGAGAAAAGAUUCUUAUUCUAAUAUAGCUAAAAGGCAGCAACCAACGUGCACAAGUCAUUUACACUGGUGAAUUGGAUGCAUUAACUUUUACAAUCGAUGGCCUAAAUUACAAACUAUAUAUGUGCAUUCUGAUCAUAUAUAAGAUCCAACGUUAAUAUUUCACUGUAUUUCAAUAUACAAUAUAUUGUGGCUUAUUAUUUGGUAAGGAAAAUGAUAUCUAAGGUGCUCAAUGUAUUAUAUUUGCUUUACCUAUUUUUUUCUUAUGGCCUUAUGUAAUAAAAUUAGAAGAUAAUUUAUGCAUUAGUCUUUUUCUGAGAA
Non-coding RNA from Phoenix dactylifera (date palm), 527 nucleotides. Lineage: Eukaryota; Viridiplantae; Streptophyta; Magnoliopsida; Arecales; Arecaceae. The record is from RefSeq and is a predicted model, not a curated record.